This 497-nucleotide ribosomal RNA is filed under the name uncultured bacterium. RNAcentral describes it as "partial 16S ribosomal RNA". It matches the Rfam family "Bacterial small subunit ribosomal RNA", at positions 28 to 507 of the family's 1533-position model. The record is from RNAcentral.
GAUGAACGCUGGCGGCGUGCCUAAUACAUGCAAGUCGAGCGAACGGACGAGAAGCUUGCUUCUCUGAUGUUAGCGGCGGACGGGUGAGUAACACGUGGAUAACCUACCUAUAAGACUGGGAUAACUUCGGGAAACCGGAGCUAAUACCGGAUAAUAUUUUGAACCGCAUGGUUCAAAAGUGAAAGACGGUCUUGCUGUCACUUAUAGAUGGAUCCGCGCCGCAUUAGCUAGUUGGUAAGGUAACGGCUUACCAAGGCAACGAUGCAUAGCCGACCUGAGAGGGUGAUCGGCCACACUGGAACUGAGACACGGUCCAGACUCCUAAGGGAGGCAGCAGUAGGGAAUCUUCCGCAAUGGGCGAAAGCCUGACGGAGCAACGCCGCGUGAGUGAUGAAGGUCUUCGGAUCGUAAAACUCUGUUAUUAGGGAAGAACAUAUGUGUAAGUAACUGUGCACAUCUUGACGGUACCUAAUCAGAAAGCCACGGCUAACUACGUG